RNAcentral lists this ribosomal RNA (427 nucleotides) under uncultured bacterium. RNAcentral's name for it is "bacterial SSU rRNA". It matches the Rfam family "Bacterial small subunit ribosomal RNA", at positions 355 to 776 of the family's 1533-position model. The record is from RNAcentral.
UGGGGAAUCUUGCGCAAUGGGCGAAAGCCUGACGCAGCGACGCCGCGUGAGUGAUGAAGGCCUUCGGGUUGUAAAGCUCUGUGGGGAGAGAAGAAUUAGUGUGGGCUAAUCACCACAUGAUGACGGUAUCUCCUUAGCAAGCACCGGCUAACUCUGUGCCAGCAGCCGCGGUAAGACAGAGGGUGCAAACGUUGUUCGGAAUUACUGGGCGUAAAGCGAGUGUAGGCGGUCUCGUAAGUCGGAUGUGAAAGCCCCGGGCUCAACCCGGGAAGUGCACUCGAUACUGCGAGACUAGAGUACCGGAGAGGUUGGUGGAAUUCUCGGUGUAGAGGUGAAAUUCGUAGAUAUCGAGAGGAACACCGGUGGCGAAGGCGGCCAACUGGACGAGUACUGACGCUGAGACUCGAAAGCGUGGGGAGCAAACAGG